This 913-nucleotide ribosomal RNA is filed under the name uncultured archaeon. RNAcentral's name for it is "bacterial SSU rRNA". It matches the Rfam family "Archaeal small subunit ribosomal RNA", at positions 1 to 922 of the family's 1478-position model. The record is from RNAcentral.
UUCCGGUUGAUCCUGCCGGAGGCGACCGCUAUUGGAGUUCGAUUAAGCCAUGCGAGUCUAGAGGCUUAGGCCUCGGCGUACCGCUCAGUAACACGUGGAUAACCUGCCCUGUUCAGGGGGAUAACCUCGCGAAAGUGAGAAUAAUACCCCAUAGUUCACCAUGCCUGGAACGGUUGGUGGAUGAAAGCUCUGGCGGAACAGGAUGGGUCUGCGGCGUAUCAGGUAGUAGGGGGUGUAAUGGACCUCCUAGCCCUCGACGCGUACGGGUUGUGGGAGCAAUCGCCCGGAGAUGGAUUCUGAGACACGAAUCCAGACCCUACGGGGUGCAGCAGGCGCGAAAACUUGACAAUGCGAGAAAUCGUGAUCAGGGAACUCCAAUUGUCCCCGUUUUUACGGGGUUCUGAAUUGACUCUAAACAGGUCGAGUAAUAGGGGCGGGAAAUAUCGGUGCCAGCCGCCGCGGUAAUACCAAAGCCCCAAGUGGUCGUCGUUCUUAUUGGGCCUAAAACGUCCGUAGCCGGUUUGGUACAUUCGUGGGUAAAUCAGACAGCUUAACUGUCUGAAUUCUGCGAGCACGGCCAAACUUGAGACCGGGAGAGGUGUAGGGUACCUGCGGGGUAGGGGUAAAACCCUGUCAUCCCGUAGGGACCACCAGUUGCGAAGGCUCUACACUAGAACGGAUCUGACGGUCAGGGACGAAGCCUAGGGGCACGAACCGGAUUAGAUACCCGGGUAGUCCUAGGUGUAAACGCUGUGGACUUUGUGUCGGGAAUUCUUCGAGGAUUCUCGGUGCCGGAGUGAAGAUGUUAAGUCCACUGCCUGGGGAGUACGGUCGCAAGGCUGAGACUUAAAGGAAUUGGCGGGGGAGCACUGCAACGAGAGGAGCGUGCGGUUUAAUUGGAAUCAACGCCGGA